GCAGAGAGGUCACACCCGUUCCCAUACCGAACACGGAAGUUAAGCUCUCUAGCGCCGAUGGUAGUUGGGACCUUGUCCCUGUGAGAGUAGGA
Molecule: ribosomal RNA, 92 nt
Filed under: Bacillus thuringiensis
Lineage: Bacteria; Bacillati; Bacillota; Bacilli; Caryophanales; Bacillaceae
Source: RNAcentral